This 444-nucleotide ribosomal RNA is filed under the name uncultured bacterium. RNAcentral's name for it is "SSU rRNA". It matches the Rfam family "Bacterial small subunit ribosomal RNA", at positions 26 to 518 of the family's 1533-position model. The record is from RNAcentral.
AGAGCGAACGCUGGCGGCAGGCCUAACACAUGCAAGUCGAGCGCCCGUAGCAAUACGGGAGCGGCAGACGGGAUAGUAACACGUGGGAACGCGCCCUUCGGUUCGGAAUAACUCAGGGAAACUUGAGCUAAUACCGGAUACGCCCUUACGGGGAAAGAUUUAUUGCCGAAGGAACGGCCCGCGUCCGAUUAGCUAGUUGGUGAGGUAAUGGCUCACCAAGGCGACGAUCGGUAGCUGGUCUGAGAGGAUGACCAGCAUCACUGGGACUGAGACACGGCCCAGACUCCUACGGGAGGCAGCAGUGGGGAAUAUGGACAAUGGGCGCAAGCCUGAUCCAGCCAUGCCGCGUGGAUGAUGAAGGCCUUAGGGUUGUAAAGUCCUUUUAACGGGAAGAUAAUGACGGUACCGUAGAAUAAGCCCGGCUAACUUCGUGCCAGCAGCCGC